GCUGGGAAGCAGCCAGCUGGGCAGGAGCUUUGCUGGGUUAAUGUGUUAAGUCUAUAGGCCCUGACAUGUGGCUGACUGUGGACUUCAGCUAAUGUCUGUGCAACCUUGACUGAGACCUGACCAGCCUGGCAGAUGUGAGCCUCUGCUGGGCCAUUCUUCUGAGUGGAAGAUAGACGACAAAGGAGAGGAGCAGGAAGGAAAUGAUACAAAAGGAUCUUUGUACAGUUUUCUCUUACUUGUGGGAAAUUGAAAAUACAACAGUUAUUUCACCAUGAAUCAAAAUAAAAUUUGAAUUUGUACAGUA
Molecule: long non-coding RNA, 304 nt
Organism: Eptesicus fuscus (big brown bat)
Lineage: Eukaryota; Metazoa; Chordata; Mammalia; Chiroptera; Vespertilionidae
Exons: 2
Source: RefSeq, a predicted model, not a curated record